RNAcentral lists this ribosomal RNA (468 nucleotides) under uncultured bacterium. RNAcentral's name for it is "partial 16S ribosomal RNA". It matches the Rfam family "Bacterial small subunit ribosomal RNA", at positions 28 to 507 of the family's 1533-position model. The record is from RNAcentral.
GAUGAACGCUGGCGGCGUGCUUAACACAUGCAAGUCGAACGGAAAGGCCCUGCUUUUGUUGGUUGCUCGUUUGCCGAACGGGUGAGUAUCACGCGAGUAACCUCUCCUUAUCUUUGGGAUAUCUUCACGGGACUGGGGCUCUUAUCCCAGAUGAUCUUCUGAUCCGUGUGGGUGGGUGGAGAGAUUCGGCGGUGGUGUCUGGGCUCGCGGGUUAUCCGCUGGUUUGUGGGGUAGUGGCGUACCAAGGCUUUGAAGGGUAGCCGGCCUGAGAGGGUGACCGGCGACAUUGGGACUGAGAUACGGCGCAGACUCGUACGGGAGGCAGCAGGGGGGAAUAUUGCACAAUGGGCGGGAGACUGAUGCAGCAACGCAGGGUGCGGGAUGACGGCCUUCGGGUUGUAAACAGCUUUCGCCUGUGACGAAGCGUGAGUGACGGUAAUGGGUAAAGAAGCACCGGCUAACUACGUG